AGCGAACGCUGGCGGCAGGCCUAACACAUGCAAGUCGAACGAACCUUUCGGGGUUAGUGGCGGACGGGUGAGUAACACGUGGGAACGUGCCUUUAGGUUCGGAAUAACUCAGUGAAACUUGUGCUAAUACCGAAUGUGCCCUUCGGGGGAAAGAUUAAUCGCCUUUAGAGCGGCCCGCGUCUGAUUAGCUAGUUGGUUGAGGUAAUGGCUCACCAAGGCGACGAUCAGUAGCUGGUCUGAGAGGAUGAUCAGCCACAUUGGGACUGAGACACGGCCCAAACUCCUACGGGAGGCAGCAGUGGGGAAUCUUGCGCAAUGGGCGAAAGCCUGACGCAGCCAUGCCGCGUGAAUGAUGAAGGUCUUAGGAUUGUAAAAUUCUUUCACCGGGGACGAUAAUGACGGUACCCGGAGAAGAAGCCCCGGCUAACUUCGUG
This 434-nucleotide ribosomal RNA is filed under the name uncultured bacterium. RNAcentral's name for it is "partial 16S ribosomal RNA". It matches the Rfam family "Bacterial small subunit ribosomal RNA", at positions 29 to 507 of the family's 1533-position model. The record is from RNAcentral.